AUUUCUGUCACUGUAUACAGCGUUCUCCUGGUUCUGCUCAGCAUUUAUUGUCGUUAUGAAGAGGAAACAGAAGUACGGUAAAUGGUUAAAUACAAGUCUUUUAAGUGAUUUUAGAGCUCACUUCAAAAGUUCUAGAAGGUUCUAGUGCUUGAUAAAUCAACAAAUGUGAACUGCAGACUGCAGCAUUUUCAGAAUCUCACCAUCCAAAAGCCCUUAUCCGCUGGACCUCUAUGCUGAAUUUCCUCCAUGACAGUGAUAAAUACAUUUGUCAAGAAUAAA
Long non-coding RNA from Monodelphis domestica (gray short-tailed opossum), 279 nucleotides. RefSeq lists it as uncharacterized. NCBI's taxonomy places the organism in Eukaryota, Metazoa, Chordata, Mammalia, Didelphimorphia, Didelphidae. The record is from RefSeq and is a predicted model, not a curated record.